GCCGGGCGAGGUGGCUCAUGCCUGUAAUCCCAGCACUUGGGGAGGCCGAGAUGGGAGGAUUGCUUGAGGCCAGGAGUUCGAGACCAGCCUGGGCAACACAGCAAGAUCCCAUCUCUA
This 117-nucleotide non-coding RNA is filed under the name Gorilla gorilla gorilla (western lowland gorilla). The record is from Rfam by way of RNAcentral. Lineage: Eukaryota; Metazoa; Chordata; Mammalia; Primates; Hominidae.